CCCCCACCCCCUCCUCCAGCUGGAGUUACUUGAAACUUCCUGCUCUCGAUAGGACGGAGUCUGAUUCUUCCUCUGCCGUAGCUGGAUUCCCAGAACAUCCCGGGUAGCUGUGAAGGAUUUCAGACUUUCUGGGGUGGGGAUGGGGUGUUGUGGAGGAAGAAGCAUCCCCUUCUUUCGCCCUGCCCCACUGAGGGGGCUGUGCUCUGUGUGUCCCUGGAUCUUCUGGUUUUGUAUCUGACUUUGUAAAUAUGUUUUAGGAAGAAAGCAGAAGGUAUGGAGCUUGACUGUGGCAGGCCUCAGGGGUCCAGAAGUUUGUCCCCCUCUAAAGUGUCCCCCCCGUACUGCCCUUCGCCCCCACUGAGACUGAGUCUCACAAGGGUAGACAGAGCAGUUGUCCCUGGUGGGGCCGAAGGUCCCCAAGUAGCUUCUGGUUUCCUCAGGAACGAGGUCCCAGGCCAGACUAUUGUCAGUCCUAAGGCCUCAUCCUUGAAUAAGCUGCCUACCCAGUUCCCCCAUGCUCCUGCCUGCUCUCGCUCCCUUGCUAUGGGCAGGAGAGCUAGGGCUGUGCUGGAAAGAGUUCAGCCAAACUACAGCAGCACCCCGCCUUGCCGGGCCCUGGAGCUGCCCUACUAAGACCCUCCAUAGCCCUUGGGUGCUGGGAGGGAUGGCGUAAGUUGGGGCAGUUUGAGGUUGGAGGGAGUAAAUGUGCCUUGAGAGACACUCAGAGGUCCCAGGGAGCUCUGGCAGGAGGCAAAGUUGGUGAGAGAGUCAUGGGACAUCUUGACUUCCCUCCAGUGUUUCAUAGGAGUCCACGUGAUGGGUGGGCACAGGUCCGUCCUUACUCCGGCCCCCUCCCUCCCCUGGUUUGGGUUGGUACCCGUCUGGCUUUUCUUGAGCUUUAUCUGCUUUCGGCUUCUCCUCUAAGUGGGUAGAUGGGGUCUUUUGAUAUCGGCUCCCCAAAGCCUGAGCCCACAGGCCUGGGAGAGAACCAGGGGCCCGUCUUUGAUACCUGGGUCAUCACGAACCCUUCUGCCUGCAGUUGUCCCAAGGAAGGACCUGGGGGUGCAAAAGGAGAUUCAAGACAUCUGUAACAAGUCAGGCAGAGCAACCCGCUUCUUAGCCCGUGUCCCACUUAAACUGAGCUUAGAGUUAAACAUUGUGGUCAAGUGCUUGGGUUCCGUCUGUAGAUUUAAGUGCUGACGUUGUAUUUCCCAGUAAUCUUAGAUGUCUUUUGAAAAACUGAACAAGUGUUAGACCUGUGUGUGCGUUGGUGGGCACUCAAGCAUCCCAUGGGUGACCCCGUUCUCUCCCCUUCCUCCGUGACACAUCCACUCCUGCCCCGCCCACCCCCACUUGCCUCCACCCGGGGCCCCUCACUUUGCUGUGGUCUUUAUCUGCCUGUUACUCAGCCUAAGGAAACAAGUUCACUCUACACACGCAUAAAAGAAAGCAAAUGUUAUUUUUAAGAAAAUGGAAAAUAAAAACUUUAUAAACAUCACCUGCCGAGAAA
Molecule: long non-coding RNA, 1510 nt
Filed under: Rattus norvegicus (Norway rat)
Lineage: Eukaryota; Metazoa; Chordata; Mammalia; Rodentia; Muridae
Description: long non-coding RNA NONRATT017382
Source: RNAcentral